Molecule: ribosomal RNA, 331 nt
Filed under: Potamonautes sp. 11 SRD-2015
Lineage: Eukaryota; Metazoa; Arthropoda; Malacostraca; Decapoda; Potamonautidae
Description: partial 12S ribosomal RNA
Source: RNAcentral
AUUUUCUUUAAAUUUAAAGAAUUUGGCGGUAGCUUAGUCUAGUCAGAGGAACCUGCUUCUAUUAUCGAUAUGACACGUAGAAUCUUACUUAUUUUUGUUUUUAGCUUGUAUACCAUCAUUAACAGAUAAUUUUUAAAAAAUAAAAUUAUUAAAAAUAAUUGUUUUAAUAAAAUUAGAUCAAGGUGCAGCUGAUAAAUAAGUUGAGGUGGGUUACAAUAAGAUUUACUUAAACGGAGAAAAAAAAAGAAAAUUUGUUAGGAAGGAGGAUUUGAUUGUAAUAUGAAUUUAAUAAGUUUAUGAGAUAGGAGCUCUAAGCUGCGUACACAUCGCC